Molecule: long non-coding RNA, 1259 nt
Filed under: Nicotiana benthamiana
Lineage: Eukaryota; Viridiplantae; Streptophyta; Magnoliopsida; Solanales; Solanaceae
Description: long non-coding RNA (NBEN_LNC002690)
Source: RNAcentral
UAAGCUUUUACUUUUCCCCUUUCUUCUCCGUUACUCCAUUAUUUUAUUUUUAUUUAUUUCUAACCUUUUCGGUUUUUCGACCAACUUUGCUCAGUAAAACUUUGGUAGUAGGGUCAUGAUAGUAACAUUUUGAGUUAAUGAUAUGUUUUGAGCUCUCCCUCAACCAAUAUAAAUAAAAAAAAAAUUGAGAAAAAGAAACUUCUAUUCUAUGUUAUUCCAUCAAACAAAUGUUGGGUUUUGCUGUUAAUUAAAAUUUUGUACUAAGUCAAAUUUAUGUUGAAUAGGUCUGUCGAAAUAAUCAAAUGGACUUGUACGUUUAUGGAAAAAAAAAAAAAAAGACUGUACGUUUGUGGUAUCUUAAUUAUUAUUUUUUUUUAAAAAAGGAAUUGUAUUUUGGGUAGUGGUAUUUGGUGGGGCUACGAUAUUUAUGGAUGCCUAGCUUUGGCUUUUUCCUGAUGGGAACAUAAAUAGCUAGGAUAAAAAAAUGUAAUACAGCUAUAAGGACGGCAAGUGGGAGUUUUGAGCGGACACGUGUUAUCUUUAGUCACGGAUUCUUCUGCGUAUACUGGUGCACCACUUAAAUUUUCUCCCUUCGGUCCAAAAAAGGCUUCUUCUUUUUUUGUUUUUGUUUUUGUAAUUCAAAAUAAAUGUUUUGUUUUAAUUUUAAGAAUAAAUUAAUUGUUUGUUUGUAUUAUUUUUGGAGUAAAUAGUGUUGGAAUAUGUAUUAAGAGUGUUUAUGUGAGAUAGUAAAUAUGAUCAAUUUUAUUGCUAAUUAAUGAUAAAAGAUAAUAUUUAUUUUUUUAAAAUGUGAAUUAGCUAAAAAGAAUUAUUUUAACUUAAAACUGACUCGGAAAGGACAUAAACUUGGAAUAAUUCUAAGGCAUAUUAUCUUCAAUGAUUUGAAUAGUAUUAAUAAUAACAUAUUAAUAUGGCUAUAAGUUUUAAUUUUAGAUUCUUAUGAACCCUUCCCUGCCCAUGUUAAUUACAUAUAAUGUAUGAAAAAUGCUAUAGAAUAUUAUUUAAUAAAUCAACUAAUAAGCUUCUUAUGUAGCUGAUAAGUCCAGGGGCAUGGCUUUGUGAUUUGUCCUUGGAGCGAUACGAAGUUAGAGAGAAGAAAGUAACGAAGAAGGUGUCAUUUUUUAUUUGGCUAUCAAAAUUAAUAAUUUCCAUUUCUAUUUCAAUUUUAGAACAUUUCUUGGUAAUUUUGCAGAGACCAAGAGGGCUAAAAGCUAUGGGAAACAUGGAAUCUGAGUCGGAGU